Molecule: unclassified non-coding RNA, 216 nt
Filed under: plant metagenome
Description: partial contains small subunit ribosomal RNA, internal transcribed spacer 1, and 5.8S ribosomal RNA
Source: RNAcentral
UAUCCGUAGGUGAACCUGCGGAGGGAUCAUUACGACAACGCCCGGGCUCCGGGCUGGUUAUUCAUAACACUUUGUGGUCCGACUCUGUUGCCUCCGGAGCGACCCUGCCUUCGGGUGGGGGCUCCGACUGGACACUCCAAACUAUUGCGUAACUUUGCAGGCUGAGUAAACUUAAUUAAUAUAUUAAAACUUUUAACAACGGAUCUCUUGGUUCUG